CACAAAAGGUAUGUUCUGUUCGUUGAAUGACUUCUGGUGAAGAGCCGUACUAGAAUGUUUGGAGACAUCAUUAAGGCCACCGUUGUCAACUUUAAAGUCUCUGUUGCAAAUUUACAAAAGGCAUGUGACAAUCGUAAAGUUGAUUUAGACAACCGGCCCCUGUACUUGACAUCAUUCUCCCACUUCUCUAAGUAUUUGCACGAAGCAACACGCUUUUUCUUCUUAGGCGGUGACAGAACCAUU
RNAcentral lists this long non-coding RNA (243 nucleotides) under Mytilus galloprovincialis (Mediterranean mussel). The record is from RNAcentral. Lineage: Eukaryota; Metazoa; Mollusca; Bivalvia; Mytilida; Mytilidae.